Long non-coding RNA from Rhopilema esculentum, 704 nucleotides. RefSeq lists it as uncharacterized. Lineage: Eukaryota; Metazoa; Cnidaria; Scyphozoa; Rhizostomeae; Rhizostomatidae. The record is from RefSeq and is a predicted model, not a curated record.
UUGAUUAAAGGAUGCACAUUGCAUGAAUUCUACUCAUAAGAUAUUUGCAAUUUUAGAGAUACAGGAUCUUAUCAGAAUGAUUCUAUUGGAAUGAACAAAUUAUCAGUUUUCCUCGUGUUUCCAAUUUUGAACAUUUUCGAAAAUCUAGUUGAUAAAGAAAGUAUUUAAAUGAUUUGUUUUUUAAGGACAAAAUCAUUUUGUGGCGAUUCAGCUUCAGCAUAUAUAGAAGAUUAAUUCAGAUUAACAUUCACCGUGAUGCGUCGCUUGCAAUUUGUUUUGACUAUUCUGUCGGCUAUUAUUUCCUUUCAACGCCUUGUCACCUGCGCCAUUUUGACAGAAGAACGAAGUAAUUGGACUGAAAAAUGUACGAAAGAUCUGUACGAUGGGAGAAACCAGUGUUUGCAGCUGAAUUUCAAAUUAAAGCAUGAGUGCUUUCGACGCAUUUUCACCACAUUGAAGAAAUGCCUUCAAAAGAACAGUCAUCUUCAUCGCAAAGAGAAAGGCAAUUUUAGAAGAAGCUGCGCUGGAGAUUGUUGGGGACAGUUCUACCAAUGCGGGACCCUAAUAAAAUCAACGUUGGAUCAAUGGACAUGCAUAAGGGGUCGGGAAGUCUGUAUGCAUAUGUGUCGAAAAUAAGUCUAUUUUGACAAACAUACUGUGGACUUACCAUUAAAAUUGAGAAUAACAAGCAAGCUUUAACAAAA